Rattus norvegicus (Norway rat) is the source of this 1779-nucleotide long non-coding RNA. RefSeq lists it as uncharacterized. NCBI's taxonomy places the organism in Eukaryota, Metazoa, Chordata, Mammalia, Rodentia, Muridae. The record is from RefSeq and is a predicted model, not a curated record.
ACAUCACGCCAGCUGAAUGUAGGCUGGGGAAACCCCUGGUCAGGACAGAAAUAUCUUUAGCCGCUGCCGUCCAUGAUGGAAAAGGGAAGUGGAAUUUUGUUCAAAUACCAUGUUGUUUUGAGAAGUCUGACUAACGUGAAAGUCCCUAUUUAGAAAUGGUUGACUCUGCCUUGAAACUCGUCCGGAGUUUCCACAGCCGCAUGUUGACUAAGGCCUCGAAACACAAACUUCCUGGUAGCUACCGGCUCUAAUCACCUGGGACUGAGAGCUCCUCCACCAGACAAUCCCAGAGCUGUGCUCCGAGGGCCUCCGCCAGGAAAAAGCCUGGACUCCAUUUAUCAAAGGACAAAGAGACCCCAGGCGGGGGCCCUAGGCCUGAGCCAGCUGAGUCCUCCAGAGAGGAACCUGGGAAUCGGAAAGAGUCUUGGGCGGUUUUGCCAAGUCCCUUCUUAGAAACAGGAAAAGUGAGGAAGAGGGGACAGGCUACAUGCAGCUGGCUCGCAUUCAGCACCUAUGAAAUGUCGCUCACUGAAUCUUCGCUUCUACCAGAAGCCCCUGUCCAUGUUCCCUCCCUUCCCUUCAUCCCAACUUGCUUCUGGUUUUGGGUUAUCCUGUUGCCCCAGUGGUUAAAUCGUUUCAGGGAUGGGGAGAUGGCUCAGUGGGCAAAGACCUCCCAGAGGAUGAGAACCCCAUUUGGAUCCCUAGUUUUCCCACGGAAAAGAUCAGCUGGGUAUAGUGUUCUUGGAGCGGCAGGACUCGGAGGACCGUGGGCCAGCCAGUCCGUCUAACCAAUCACUGAGCUCCAGCUUCCGUUAGGAACCCUGCCUCAUAAGGGAAGGUGAGGAAUGAUUGUUGCAUAAACCCUUUGCCCCUAGGGAGCCACACAACACCCAUCUCCCAGGUUUCGAGACGAACCAAAGUUCAAGCCCACCCUGGGACCAAUGAGUUUAUCAACGCUUACUUACAGAGCGGGGUGACCCAGAAGUAGCCACUAUGGAAGGUGGGCACCCAGCGUGGAAGACGCCGAUUUUCCCCAUGGCUGUGUAGACGGAGCUGCCUCCUCUCAGCCUUCCUCACCUACAUCCUCCAGCCCCUCCCCGAGCCCCGGAGACCCCGUGCAAUUAGGGCACAGUUGCCUACAGCUGGCUGCGUGCGCAGACUCCUGAAGAUGAGGACAGUGUGGCUCAGAGGAUAGAACGUGGAACCUGGAAGCAACCCGGUGUCAAGCUCUGGCCUAUGGAGCGGGUGCACGCACCCCUCUCCCCAUGCGAGCGUUCCUCACGUUCCUUCACAGUUCAGCCACGUAAUUGGUGAAUGCUUUUCAGUUACUCAGAGAAUUUAUGAAAGUCCCUGACAUGGAGCCUCGAACUCAACACAGGCCCUGUGGAGACAGGGAUCAAGGUUCUGCAUCAACAGACCUCCUCGGAACUCUGGAGAAUUAGUUCUCAAGGCCGGGAGGAUUGUGGCCAGGCAGUCUGAAAUCCCACCCUCUGGGUGGCCUACAGGAGCCACCCGGGGGAGCAGGAAGCCACAUGCCUCCCAGGGCGAUGGACCCACAGGAAAACAGCCUUUCCCGUGUCUGCUUUAGCGAGACUUCCUUUCACCUGUGUGCCCCAGCAAAACCUCAUUUGACGUAACUGACCUGGCAAAGAACCUAGAAGUUUCCACUCCACCACCCAGUCAGCUUCUUUUUGUGACACUCCGAGACAGUCUCACUCUGUAGCCCAGGCUAGCCUGAGGAUCAGGCUAUCCUUGAAUGUGUGAUAAACUUCUUGCCUC